This is a long non-coding RNA of Juglans regia (Persian walnut), 785 nucleotides long. RefSeq lists it as uncharacterized. The record is from RefSeq and is a predicted model, not a curated record. The transcript has 2 exons. NCBI's taxonomy places the organism in Eukaryota, Viridiplantae, Streptophyta, Magnoliopsida, Fagales, Juglandaceae.
UUCCUGCAAUAUAUAUAUAUAUAUAUAAAUAUAUAUAUUCUUUGUUCAUAUUCUGAUUUAUUCAAUCAAAAUGGUGGGAAAAAAAAAAAUAAUAAAGUUACCCUGCAGAGAAGAUUCCCUAGCUUUCCCUUUUAGCUUCAAUGAUGAUAGUUCCUCCUGUUGGCCUUUUGGUUUUGCCUCCACAUCUUCUCCUAAAUUUCUGUGAAAAAAGAACUGUUGCUCUUAUAUAUGGAAUACAAAACAACGAAGUAGGUCAUAGAAUCGGGCCGUAACUUCGUCUCCAAGUGUAUCAUGUACAACAGAGCUAGCUAGCUAGAAUUUAUGUUUCCCUUGAUUUCUUUUUUUUUUUUUGCUUGUUUUGUUUUUGUUUUUUGACUAGUAAUCCUGAGAUAUUAAAGGGUUGGAAUGUUUUCUAGGAUGAUCUCGAACAAAACACCAAACCCACUUAAUUACCACCUCAGGCGCUACAGCUAGUCAAGAGUCAAGAGACUGAUCUGCAGCGCUUCCGGCCUGUAUCUAGUCAGCAACAUCGGAAUAUCAUUAAAGACACAGAAAGUACUGACAAGAAAUUCUAAGCUAACCUUGCUGCUGCAUUGUUGACUGGAUUCCACAUUAUUAUAAGUUCUCUUGAAUAAUACAUGUCCUUCUUGACAAGAAUUUCUAGCUAGCUAGCUGCUUCUCUUACUCAUGUAUGUAAUAGAUCUCAAGUAGAUCCCAUGUUCAUGUUAUUAUCAUGGCCAUUAUGAAAAUAUAUAACAGGAUUCACAAUGGUAAUUUCUGGAUUA